Molecule: long non-coding RNA, 1374 nt
Organism: Syngnathus acus (greater pipefish)
Lineage: Eukaryota; Metazoa; Chordata; Actinopteri; Syngnathiformes; Syngnathidae
Exons: 5
Source: RefSeq, a predicted model, not a curated record
UGUGAGAGCCAAAAACGGAUGAAAGAAACACCAGACCACCAGUAAAUCUGGAAAUGUGUGUUUUGACGAACUCGGGACAAAGACACGAGCAACAUGCAAAGUUUGAAACCUGAAGAUUCAUCUCUGAGAUUGAAGGUCAGCUCCAGGUUGGCAAAGAAGUAGUCAGCAAACUCCGGAUACAUGUCCAACACCUCCAAAAGGUCCUCCCGUUGGAUGGUGCUCAGGUCGCAGUAACUCAGAGCUCGCACAUCAGCGUUGGACUUUCCAGUGAGUGAGCUUCACCACUUCACCACUAGAUGGCAGCAGCAAACGUCGCAAACUCAGGCCACCGUCAGUUCGCAAGUACAGGUUUGGAACUGGCAGUGGUCGGGAAUCUGCAUAUAGAGCUUUCUUGCCUUGGGACUCAGCUGGAUGUUAUUGUUCGCCCUAACCGAGGAUGUGAACCCUGAUCUCUGAGUUCAAGCAGAGUGGCGGAUGAAAACAAGGGGCGAACGAGCAAGCGAGCGCUCUGUCAUCACAUGACGCUGCCGAGGUUUAGUAUCAAAGCAACAACUUGGAUUAAUAUCUUCAUUCUCAAGAUGUGACGCAAGCUGCCGGAGGUGCCUGAGCGAGGUUAAGUAAGGACCUGCCACCCAUCAACACCAUAGGGACCCUCCCGAAAAAGAAAAAAAAAAAUGUACUUGUGGGCUCACUGGACACUUCAUUAGGUACACAUGACCAGUCUAAUUGCAUUCAACAUGAGAGCUGAAUUGAAAAUGAUGUCCGUGUAAAAAAAUAAAAAAAACAAUCAUUUAUUAAUAAAUGCUACCGUGGCUGUAGUUUGCAGUGGUGUGGAAGUGCACUCUAUAAAUAAAUAAAAGUACACAAUACAGAAAGUCGUGUCCACUUGUGCACCACUACAAUAAUGAAUGUGUGUAGUAGGCCAGUGUCGAUAUAAUUCGAGCAUUAUCAUAUUUGGAAAAGGUGGAAUUUUAUAUUGACCUUAAUAUUACGGUAAUUAGGAUAUUUAAAAAAAAAUUAUGAAUCAUUUAUAAAUAUUUUUUAUUUAACAUUCUACAUACAUUUCCAAUUACCAAAUGCUGGUAAAAUUAGUGGACAAAAAAAAAAAGUAGGAUGACAUUUUUUUUCAAGUACAAAUAACUAAGCACAACCUCAAUUAGGAAAAAAAAAAUCUGAACAACAAAUUUAAAAUCCCACUUUCCAACAACACAUUAGAAGCAAACACUCCAAGAUAAUGGAUGUACACUACAUUUUGUUUUCCACCUCCCCGCUGAAUGUCGGGUGCUGGAAUGCUGGUUUUUUUUUUGGUUUUUUUUUUUGUCAAGAGGAAUGAAAACAUACUUCAGCUCAUUGCUGAUGAUGCUAAUUUCCUCU